UCGAGUCGGCCUGCGCGGAAGAUGUAACGGGGCUAAGUAGUAAACCGAAGCUGCGGCAAUAUACUUUUGUAUAUUGGGUAGGGGAGCGUUCUGUAAGCGGUUGAAGGUGUGUGGUAACGCAUGCUGGACGUAUCAGAAGUGCGAAUGCUGACAUGAGUAACGAUAAAGGGGGUGAAAAACCUCCUCGCCGGAAGACCAAGGGUUCCUGUCCAACGUUAAUCGGGGCAGGGUAAGUCGACCCCUAAGGCGAGGCCGAAAGGCGUAGUCGAUGGGAAACGGGUUAAUAUUCCCGUACUUCUUACAAUUGCGAUG
Molecule: ribosomal RNA, 312 nt
Filed under: Vibrio parahaemolyticus
Lineage: Bacteria; Pseudomonadati; Pseudomonadota; Gammaproteobacteria; Vibrionales; Vibrionaceae
Description: partial 23S ribosomal RNA
Rfam family: Bacterial large subunit ribosomal RNA
Source: RNAcentral